GUAGAACGCUGAGGAUUGGUGCUUGCACUAAUCCAAAGAGUUGCGAACGGGUGAGUAACGCGUAGGUAACCUACCUCAUAGCGGGGGAUAACUAUUGGAAACGAUAGCUAAUACCGCAUGACACUAGAGUACACAUGUACUUAAUUUAAAAGGAGCAAUUGCUUCACUAUGAGAUGGACCUGCGUUGUAUUAGCUAGUUGGUGAGGUAACGGCUCACCAAGGCGACGAUACAUAGCCGACCUGAGAGGGUGAUCGGCCACACUGGGACUGAGACACGGCCCACACUCCUACGGGAGGCAGCAGUAGGGAAUCUUCGGCAAUGGACGGAAGUCUGACCGAGCAACGCCGCGUGAGUGAAGAAGGUUUUCAGAUCGUAAAGCUCUGUUGUUAGAGAAGAACGGUAAUGGGAGUGGAAAAUCCAUUACGUGACGGUAACUAACCAGAAAGGGACGGCUAACUACGUGCCAGCAGCCGCGGUAAUACGUAUGUCUCGAGCGUUGUCCGGAUUUAUUGGGCGUAAAGCGAGCGCAGGCGGUUCUAUAAGUCUGAAGUAAAAGGCAGUGGCUCAACCAUUGUAUGCUUUGGAAACUGUAGAACUUGAGUGCAGAAGGGGAGAGUGGAAUUCCAUGUGUAGCGGUGAAAUGCGUAUAUAUAUGGAGGAACACCGGUGGCGAACGCGGCUCUCUGGUCUGUAACUGACGCUGACGCUCGAAAGCGUGGGGAGCAAACAGGAUUAGAUACCCUGGUA
RNAcentral lists this ribosomal RNA (748 nucleotides) under Streptococcus iniae. Its description in RNAcentral is "bacterial SSU rRNA". It matches the Rfam family "Bacterial small subunit ribosomal RNA", at positions 61 to 792 of the family's 1533-position model. Lineage: Bacteria; Bacillati; Bacillota; Bacilli; Lactobacillales; Streptococcaceae. The record is from RNAcentral.